UGGCUGCUGCUGCCGUUGCCGGGAGCUGGAAGAGGGCUGGGGCUGGGCCUGGGCCGACUGUGGGGUGGUGCUGGCCUGGAGCUGGUGGUACUGAGGGGUGGUGAUGGGCUGGCUUGGGGUCGCGUAGGAGUAGCUAGGGGUCAUUAGUGGUGUGGCCACUGGCUGCUGGGCUGGCGUUGGGAAUACGUGGUAAGCACUGCUGCCGCCUCCACUGCCGCCAUAGCCGUACUGGCUGGAGGCCCACUGGGCUGGGGUGGCAUUAGGGUUCUGUCCUUGGCCUGUCACCGCAGCAAUGGCACUGAACAUCUGUGAAGUCAUGUUCUGAGGCAGGGCAUUCACAGCCCGUGUCAGAUCUGUAAGCACACAGAGGUGGGGAGGGGCAUGUUAGAGGUGAAAGUCCCUUUAGCUCCAUCCUUCCCACCUCCAGUCCCAGGCUC
Molecule: long non-coding RNA, 437 nt
Filed under: Pan troglodytes (chimpanzee)
Lineage: Eukaryota; Metazoa; Chordata; Mammalia; Primates; Hominidae
Description: long non-coding RNA NONPTRT006781
Source: RNAcentral